AAUUCUUGAAUGUCUUUACAGUUUUAUUUGUUCCAGUUCUGAAUGACAAUACACUUUUUUCCUCAUUAAUAUUUUCACUGUUAGAUUUCUUUAUUCAAUAUGAUCGUAAUUAUACUUGUAAAUGUAGGUCUGAGAUCAAAAUAACUAAUAUCCUAAAUUUUUUUUCCAUAGAAGAAAGUCAUUUCUCUGAACUUUGAGCAUGAGUGCUUUUUUUUAUAAUAGUAAAAACAUAAUAUAUGGCAGUAUCAGAAUAAAUGAGUACAGAUGAAAUAAUUAAUAGCUCAUAUGAAAAUGCUUGCUCAUUCUUUUAAUCCUUUGACAUGGUUAAAUGUAUAAGUAAGAGAUUCUACAUCAACACUGUCUAGUCACUUCACCUGGCCCAAAUGGCUGUAGAAACCAGGUCCUUCCCCGUCCUGUUGGGUUAUUGGAGGAUGGGGUUGGAUGUACUGCGCGACUCGUUUUCACAUCUCCUCUUUUGUCCUCCACAGUGGGUAUCACCACCACGGGGAUAAGUGUGCAUUGCUCAAGUGUACCAUUAGAAGACAUGACUUCAGUGUAUCCUUCUUCACAACUGCAUGUCCUCAUCUGCAGGAGAACAAGAGGAUUUCUACACAUAUAAGGUGAUCUUUGAAAGCAUGACACAAAGGACUUGAAGAGAAGGCUUUCAAGAAGUAUUGUU
This 679-nucleotide long non-coding RNA is filed under the name Lynx pardinus (Iberian lynx). Lineage: Eukaryota; Metazoa; Chordata; Mammalia; Carnivora; Felidae. The record is from RNAcentral.